AAUGAACGCUGGCGGCGCGCCUAAUACAUGCAAGUCGAGCGAGAAGACGUAGCAAUACGUUUGUAAAGCGGCGAACGGGUGAGGAAUACAUGGGUAACCUACCCUCGAGUGGGGAAUAACUAGCCGAAAGGUUAGCUAAUACCGCGUACGCUUCUUGGACUUCGGUUCAGGGAGGAAAGCGAUACCGUGGGUAUCGCGCUCUUGGAUGGGCUCAUGUCCUAUCAGCUUGUUGGUGAGGUAACGGCUCACCAAGGCUUCGACGGGUAGCUGGUCUGAGAGGACGAUCAGCCACACUGGCACUGCGACACGGGCCAGACUCCUACGGGAGGCAGCAGUAAGGAAUAUUGCGCAAUGGGCGAAAGCCUGACGCAGCGACGCCGCGUGGGGGAUGAAGGUCUUCGGAUUGUAAACCCCUUUC
This 418-nucleotide ribosomal RNA is filed under the name uncultured bacterium. RNAcentral describes it as "bacterial SSU rRNA". It matches the Rfam family "Bacterial small subunit ribosomal RNA", at positions 29 to 437 of the family's 1533-position model. The record is from RNAcentral.